CUGCCCCCGCCGCCCCGCGCCCGUGACUCACCUCAGCGCUGGGGCAGGCUGGUCCGGGCGGGCAAGCCUCAGGGCUCUCCCACACGUCGUGCCGCCGCUGCCAAUGGCAAAGUUGGAGGGCUAGAUGCAAACACCAGGUCAAGACCACCAUCCCCAGAUUGCAAAGAUGCUCUGAAACUGCAGUGCCUGGACUGAAGUGAGGAGUUUGGCCUGGAGCUCAGCAGGGGCCUGAGAGGUUCCAGGACCUUCCCAUCCAGAGAUCACCUCGUGGGGGCUAAACGCUCCUACCCACCUUCUCGCCAAGCACAGGACGCCUCUGCAGCGCCACCUACAGGCAGAAUGCGCAUGGCGCAGCGACUCUGUCAGCCUCGGCGGCCGGAACUGGUGUCACAUAGAGAACAGGAGAGAUCUGCUCCUCUGCCCCCAACCCUCCAACUUCCUUGGAUGACACAUGGUCUUCCUUAGCCGCCCCUGCCCUAAAGUGUCCCUGUUAGACUGGCUCCAAAUUCAAGCCCUGCCUGACUCAGGCAGCCGGUGAUCUAACGUUUCCACUCCUGCUGCUGCACUCUAAGCGGCCUCCUGCCCCAGGGCGCCUCUUCCUGGGAAGCAGUCAAGUCACGCUGGGCCCCGGAUCUGCUGACGAGAAUCCUCCGCCCUGCCGGCACACCCCUUGAAAUUUGUCUCAAUUCCUUCUUUCUUCCUCCCGCCCCUCCAUCUCCUUCAUUUCAUCCCUGUCUCUGAGGCUAGCAGGAGCGGCUGGGCUCCAGGGAAAAGCAGCUGGGAAAAAAAGAGUCCACGUGGAGACCUCCUGCACACUGUGUCAGCCCC
Meriones unguiculatus (Mongolian gerbil) is the source of this 828-nucleotide long non-coding RNA. RefSeq lists it as uncharacterized. Lineage: Eukaryota; Metazoa; Chordata; Mammalia; Rodentia; Muridae. The transcript is spliced from 3 exons. The record is from RefSeq and is a predicted model, not a curated record.